GGAGCAUGUGGUUUAAUUCGAUGAUACGCGAGGAACCUUACCUGGGCUCAAAUGUAUGUUGACGUAUUCUGAAAGGGAUACUUCUUCGGACAAUAUACAAGGUGCUGCAUGGUUGUCGUCAGCUCGUGCCGUGAGGUGUCGGGUUAAGUCCCAUAACGAGCGCAACCCCUAUCAUUAGUUGCCAUCAGGUAAUGCUGGGGACUCUAAAGGAACUGCCUACGCAAGUAGUGAGGAAGCGGGGAUGACGUCAAAUCAGCACGGCCCUUACGUCCAGGGCUACACACGUGCUACAAUGGCCGAUACAGAGGGCAGCUACCUGGUGACAGGAUGCAAAUCUCCAAAGUCGGUCUCAGUUCGGAUCGGAGUCUGCAACCCGACUCCGUGAAGUUGGAUUCGCUAGUAAUCGCGCAUCAGCCAUGGCGCGGUGAAUACGUUCCCGGGCCUU
RNAcentral lists this ribosomal RNA (445 nucleotides) under uncultured Sphingobacteriales bacterium. Its description in RNAcentral is "bacterial SSU rRNA". It matches the Rfam family "Bacterial small subunit ribosomal RNA", at positions 934 to 1382 of the family's 1533-position model. The record is from RNAcentral. Lineage: Bacteria; Pseudomonadati; Bacteroidota; Sphingobacteriia; Sphingobacteriales.